CCUACGGUGGGCAGCAGUGGGGAAUAUUGGACAAUGGGCGAAAGCCUGAUCCAGCCAUGCCGCGUGUGUGAAGAAGGCCUUCGGGUUGUAAAGCACUUUCAGUGGGGAAGAAAGCCUUGGGGCUAAUACCCUCGAGGAAGGACAUCACCCACAGAAGAAGCACCGGCUAACUCCGUGCCAGCAGCCGCGGUAAGACGGAGGGUGCGAGCGUUAAUCGGAAUUACUGGGCGUAAAGCGCGCGUAGGCGGUCUGAUAAGCCGGUUGUGAAAGCCCCGGGCUCAACCUGGGAACGGCAUCCGGAACUGUCAGGCUAGAGUGCAGGAGAGGAAGGUAGAAUUCCCGGUGUAGCGGUGAAAUGCGUAGAGAUCGGGAGGAAUACCAGUGGCGAAGGCGGCCUUCUGGACUGACACUGACGCUGAGGUGCGAAAGCGUGGGUAGCAAACAGGAUUAGAUACCCCAGUAGUC
RNAcentral lists this ribosomal RNA (465 nucleotides) under Vreelandella stevensii. RNAcentral's name for it is "partial 16S ribosomal RNA". It matches the Rfam family "Bacterial small subunit ribosomal RNA", at positions 338 to 795 of the family's 1533-position model. The record is from RNAcentral. Lineage: Bacteria; Pseudomonadati; Pseudomonadota; Gammaproteobacteria; Oceanospirillales; Halomonadaceae.